AGAGUUUGAUUCUGGCUCAGAUUGAACGCUGGCGGCGUGCUUAACACAUGCAAGUCGAACGAGAAAGUCCUAGCUUGCUAGGGCGAGUAAAGUGGCGCACGGGUGAGUAACGCGUGAAUAAUCUACCUUCGAAUCUGUGAACAACACACCGAAAGGUGUGCUAAUACCGGAUAAUAUCUUUUGCCCUUCGGUGUAGAAGAUCAAGGCGGCCUCUUCUUGAAAGCCGUUGUUUGGAGAUGAGUUCGCGUACCAUUAGCUAGUUGGUGGGGUAAAGGCCUACCAAGGCUACGAUGGUUAGCUGGUCUGAGAGGAUGACCAGUCACACUGGAACUGAGACACGGUCCAGACUCCUACGGGAGGCAGCAGUGAGGAAUCUUGCGCAAUGGGGGAAACCCUGACGCAGCAACGCCGCGUGAGUGAUGAAGGCUCUUGGGUCGUAAAGCUCUGUCAAUAGGGAAGAAAUCAAUUAUGGUUAACUAUCCAUAGUUGUUGACGGUACCUAUGAAGGAAGCACCGGCUAACUCCGUGCCAGCAGCCGCGGUAAUAGGGGGGGUGCAAGUGUUAAUCGGAAUUAUUGGGCGUAAAGCGAGUGCAGGCGGUAUUGUAAGUCAGAUGUGAAAGCCCAGGGCUCAACCCUGGAAGUGCAUUUGAAACUGCAAUACUUGAGUAUGGGAGAGGAAAGUGGAAUUCCUGGUGUAGAGGUGAAAUUCGUAGAUAUCAGGAGGAACACCAGUGGCGAAGGCGACUUUCUGGACCAAUACUGACGCUCAGACUCGAAGGCGUGGGGAGCGAACAGGAUUAGAUACCCUGGUAGUCCACGCAGUAAACGUUGACAACUAGGUGUCGCGGGUAUUGACCCCUUCGGUGCCGCAGCUAACGCAUUAAGUGCCCCGCCUGGGGAGUACGAUCGCAAGAUUGAAACUCAAAGGAAUUGACGGGGGCCCGCACAAGCGGUGGAGUAUGUGGUUUAAUUCGAGGCAACGCGAAGAACCUUACCUGGAUUUGACAUGUUUAGGACCGACUGUGAAAGCAGUCUUUCCCUUCGGGGAUCUUUACACAGGUGCUGCAUGGCUGUCGUCAGCUCGUGCCGUGAGGUGUUGGGUUAAGUCCCGCAACGAGCGCAACCCCUAUCUAUAGUUGCCAUCAGGUAAUGCUGGGGACUCUAUAGAGACUGCCGGUGACAAACCGGAGGAAGGUGGGGACGACGUCAAGUCCUCAUGGCCCUUACAUCCAGGGCUACACACGUACUACAAUGGCCGGUACAAUAGGAAGCAAUAUCGCGAGAUGGAGCAAAUCCCCAAAACCGGUCUCAGUUCAGAUUGGAGUCUGCAACUCGACUCCAUGAAGGAGGAAUCGCUAGUAAUCGCUGAUCAGCAGGCAGCGGUGAAUACGUUCCCGGGCCUUGUACACACCGCCCGUCAAGCCACGGGAGUUGGGAGCACCCGAAGUCGCUUGCCUAACCGCAAGGAGGGCGGCGCCUAAGGUGAAACCGAUGACUGGGGCUAAGUCGUAACAAGGUAACC
Molecule: ribosomal RNA, 1523 nt
Filed under: uncultured prokaryote
Description: partial 16S ribosomal RNA
Rfam family: Bacterial small subunit ribosomal RNA
Source: RNAcentral